UUGAUUUUUCAUGGUUAUUGGAUAGAUCUUGACAGCUCGUGGACCCAAGAAUCUAGUCCUUGUAUCCAAAAGUUGCCCGGAUGUAACGUCGAUAACAGUUCGUAAAUAGACACCAUUCAUUAAACCUAUAUGUAAAUAGAGAGUACUCACACCAUUUACGUUCAUCGGAAUUAUGCAUAAAGAAUUGGCAGGAGAACUAAGGGCUUGUACACUCAAAUUUUCUAAGGUUGUGUACAAAUCGAGAGACAACACCCU
Molecule: non-coding RNA, 255 nt
Organism: Schizosaccharomyces pombe (fission yeast)
Lineage: Eukaryota; Fungi; Ascomycota; Schizosaccharomycetes; Schizosaccharomycetales; Schizosaccharomycetaceae
Source: the annotation of a GenBank genome assembly